Theobroma cacao (cacao) is the source of this 481-nucleotide non-coding RNA. The record is from RefSeq and is a predicted model, not a curated record. Lineage: Eukaryota; Viridiplantae; Streptophyta; Magnoliopsida; Malvales; Malvaceae.
AGAAAAUAAGUGGGUGUGGCCCAAAAGGAAAUAAACAAAUAAAUGGGCUUAGCCCAAAUAAGAAAAAUAGAGAAGCCCAUGGAGAAGGCCCAAAGGUCAUAAAGAAAUGAAAAAGGCCCAAUGGAAAGUUUGUCAUGGAGGCGUGCCGAACGAAGUAUGUGACCGACAAAUAAGAACAAUUAUAAACACGUACGAAUCAAUAGUGAAUUAAUAUCCCACUAUUAUGAGAUAGGGAUCAGCCUAGCGUGUAGUCAGUGAUGCAUUCGGUCCACCGUGAAUAGAUAAAGGCAUCUCCUAGCAAUUUAUUCCGAGUCGCUCCGCUGAUAAAGGCUUGUUCGAGAUUUGGCGGGUCUUUUUCGGAAGUCUUAGACGCCGGCAGCGACCGGGGAGAGGUCGUUGCAUAUUGAUAGAAUUGAAGAUCUAUUGAUACAUUUUCUUAUGAAAAGUCAAAAUUUGCAAAGUCAAAACUCAAUCCAUUGAU